GUGGCGGACGGGUGAGUAACACGUAGGUAACCUGCCCCGGAGCGGGGGAUAACAUUUGGAAACAGAUGCUAAUACCGCAUAACAACAAAAGCCACAUGGCUUUUGUUUGAAAGAUGGCUUUGGCUAUCACUCUGGGAUGGACCUGCGGUGCAUUAGCUAGUUGGUAAGGUAACGGCUUACCAAGGCGAUGAUGCAUAGCCGAGUUGAGAGACUGAUCGGCCACAAUGGAACUGAGACACGGUCCAUACUCCUACGGGAGGCAGCAGUAGGGAAUCUUCCACAAUGGGCGCAAGCCUGAUGGAGCAACACCGCGUGAGUGAAGAAGGGUUUCGGCUCGUAAAGCUCUGUUGUUGGAGAAGAACGUGCGUGAGAGUAACUGUUCACGCAGUGACGGUAUCCAACCAGAAAGUCACGGCUAACUACGUGCCAGCAGCCGCGGUAAUACGUAGGUGGCAAGCGUUAUCCGGAUUUAUUGGGCGUAAAGCGAGCGCAGGCGGUUGCUUAGGUCUGAUGUGAAAGCCUUCGGCUUAACCGAAGAAGUGCAUCGGAAACCGGGCGACUUGAGUGCAGAAGAGGACAGUGGAACUCCAUGUGUAGCGGUGGAAUGCGUAGAUAUAUGGAAGAACACCAGUGGCGAAGGCGGCUGUCUGGUCUGCAAC
Molecule: ribosomal RNA, 659 nt
Filed under: Limosilactobacillus reuteri
Lineage: Bacteria; Bacillati; Bacillota; Bacilli; Lactobacillales; Lactobacillaceae
Description: bacterial SSU rRNA
Rfam family: Bacterial small subunit ribosomal RNA
Source: RNAcentral